GACGAACGCUGGCGGCGUGCUUAACACAUGCAAGUCGAGCGGUAAGGCCCUUUCGGGGGUACACGAGCGGCGAACGGGUGAGUAACACGUGGGUGACCUGCCCUCAGCUCUGGGAUAAGCCUGGGAAACCGGGUCUAAUACUGGAUAUGACUCCAUGACGCAUGUUGUGGGGUGGAAAGCCUUGUGCGGCUGAGGAUGGGCCCGCGGCCUAUCAGCUUGUUGGUGGGGUGAUGGCCUACCAAGGCGACGACGGGUAGCCGGCCUGAGAGGGCGACCGGCCACACUGGGACUGAGACACGGCCCAGACUCCUACGGGAGGCAGCAGUGGGGAAUCUUGCGCAAUGGGCGAAAGCCUGACGCAGCGACGCCGCGUGAGGGAUGACGGCCUGCGGGUUGUAAAGCACUUUCAGUAGGGAAGAAAAGCCGAGUGCUAAUAUCACUCGGUCUUGACGUUACUUACAGAAGAAGCACCGGCUAACUCCGUGCCA
Molecule: ribosomal RNA, 488 nt
Filed under: uncultured bacterium
Lineage: Bacteria
Description: bacterial SSU rRNA
Rfam family: Bacterial small subunit ribosomal RNA
Source: RNAcentral